RNAcentral lists this ribosomal RNA (402 nucleotides) under bacterium. Its description in RNAcentral is "partial 16S ribosomal RNA". It matches the Rfam family "Bacterial small subunit ribosomal RNA", at positions 355 to 774 of the family's 1533-position model. The record is from RNAcentral. RNAcentral also lists the same sequence under 3 other names.
UGGGGAAUAUUGCACAAUGGGGGAAACCCUGAUGCAGCAACGCCGCGUGAGUGAUGACGGUCUUCGGAUUGUAAAGCUCUGUCUUCAGGGACGAUAAUGACGGUACCUGAGGAGGAAGCCACGGCUAACUACGUGCCAGCAGCCGCGGUAAUACGUAGGUGGCAAGCGUUGUCCGGAUUUACUGGGCGUAAAGGGAGCGUAGGUGGAUAUUUAAGUGGGAUGUGAAAUACUCGGGCUUAACCUGGGUGCUGCAUUCCAAACUGGAUAUCUAGAGUGCAGGAGAGGAAAGUAGAAUUCCUAGUGUAGCGGUGAAAUGCGUAGAGAUUAGGAAGAAUACCAGUGGCGAAGGCGACUUUCUGGACUGUAACUGACACUGAGGCUCGAAAGCGUGGGGAGCAAACA